CGCAUGAAUACGGGUGAAGGUACGACAAGCGUGAAACACAGAUCACGCUUUUACCGUUCCCACUACUGCAUAGCAAGUCCCUGACUCAGUGAGGAACUAUGGAAACCUAUACGACCCAGCGGAUUUCCAGUCACACCUGUGUAUCUUUAUCUACGACAACUCACGAGGGUUUGUGAUGUUGUCCAUUGCCAACUUGUUGUGAAGUUGGGAGUUUUGGCCGCGUGGAAUGACUCUAGCUGCUGUAUUAUGUUAUAUACAUGAGCUUAUUGUUAUGUAUCGGUGAUGUAUGGAGAGUCGCACGUGACAUAUGUGUAUAUUGACACAUCGUAUUCAUACCUGGCCUUGGCAUCGACAUAGCCAGUUUCUGGAUACUGCUGAAGCUGUGUGACUGUACAGCUGAAUCUACAUGCUGUCAGGAACAUGGUUGUACUGUCUUGUGGUCGACUUGUGUUGAUGAGGAGAGACUGUGUUCGAACUUCGUUGUUUCGUUACGGUGAUCCAGUGUGGGAACGAAGAUUCGCCAAGCUACAGACUGUAUUAGUUCUGAUCGUGUUUGUUGUAGUGUAGUAGGAUAUUAUAAUAUAUUGUAAGGAUAAUAUCAUAUAUUAUAUGCUACUGUGUUGUUGGUAUGGUGCGAGAGUACUGUGUGUUUGCGAGUUGUGUGUGGUUAUAGGAUUGUGUAAAUAAAUAAACGUAUAUAAGUGUU
Long non-coding RNA from Ylistrum balloti, 706 nucleotides. RefSeq lists it as uncharacterized. The transcript has 2 exons. NCBI's taxonomy places the organism in Eukaryota, Metazoa, Mollusca, Bivalvia, Pectinida, Pectinidae. The record is from RefSeq and is a predicted model, not a curated record.